AAGACCACGACCAGGACACAAACUCAACACUAGGGACUCUGAAACUGAAAUAUGCAAAGGCUAUGGCGCGGAUGGGUUGUAGGACAUGAAAACAAUAUGGCAAUAGACUUAUGGGACGAACACAAGGACACUUGAAACUAAGGGUAGAUGUGAACCUAACGAUAUGUCUGAAGCUUUGAUUACCACUUCAGGAGAACAAGUGUGGCCCGAUCUUCCGAAACUUUCUGGUAACUAUCGAUUUGGUGGAAACGAGAGACAUAUCAAUCCAGCUUGCGAACAACACAAUUCGAAACCCUACAAUUCUUUUUAUUUUUUUUGAUAUUUUUCUUUUACUAAGGAGCACUCAAGAAGUAACCCUAGGAAAUUUGAGCUUAAACAAGUAAAAGACGUGGCCUGUGGAAUUUUUUGAAGAUUGUGAAAAAUAUGAAAAAAAAUUAGGAGGUGAAAACUCAAACUUCAGAGGCG
This 465-nucleotide long non-coding RNA is filed under the name Sorghum bicolor (sorghum). RNAcentral describes it as "long non-coding RNA (SBIC_LNC010555)". The record is from RNAcentral. Lineage: Eukaryota; Viridiplantae; Streptophyta; Magnoliopsida; Poales; Poaceae.